This 606-nucleotide ribosomal RNA is filed under the name uncultured bacterium. Its description in RNAcentral is "bacterial SSU rRNA". The stretch from base 1 to 515 matches the Rfam family "Bacterial small subunit ribosomal RNA", at positions 338 to 873 of the family's 1533-position model. The record is from RNAcentral.
CCUACGGGAGGCAGCAGUGGGGAAUCUUGCGCAAUGGGCGAAAGCCUGACGCAGCCAUGCCGCGUGAAUGAUGAAGGUCUUAGGAUUGUAAAAUUCUUUCACCGGGGACGAUAAUGACGGUACCCGGAGAAGAAGCCCCGGCUAACUUCGUGCCAGCAGCCGCGGUAAUACGAAGGGGGCUAGCGUUGCUCGGAAUUACUGGGCGUAAAGGGAGCGUAGGCGGAUAGUUCAGUCAGAGGUGAAAGCCCAGGGCUCAACCUUGGAACUGCCUUUGAUACUGGCUAUCUUGAGUUUGGGAGAGGUAUGUGGAACUCCGAGUGUAGAGGUGAAAUUCGUAGAUAUUCGGAAGAACACCAGUGGCGAAGGCGACAUACUGGCCCAAUACUGACGCUGAGGCUCGAAAGCGUGGGGAGCAAACAGGAUUAGAUACCCUGGUAGUCCACGCUGUAAACGAUGAGUGCUAGUUGUCGGCAUGCAUGCAUGUCGUGACGCAGCUACGCAUAAGACACUCCGCCGUCGGGUAGGUACGGUCGCGAGAAGUUAAACUACAAUAGUAAGUUAGUACGGCGUGAGACGUGACCGACGGACGACGACGAGGGAGGAGGG